AUGGAAAUGAGCUGAGAUGCAAUGAGUUGAAAUGAGAUGAAAUGAUGAAAUGAUGAGAUGAAAUGAUGAGAUGAGAUGUGAUGAAAUGAUGACAUGAAAUGAUGACAUAAAAUGAGAUGAAAUGUGAUGGAAUGAGAUGAGAUGAAAUGAGAUGAAAUGAUAGAUGAGAUAAAAUGAUGAUAUGAAAUGAUGAGAUGAAUGAUGAGAUGAUGAGAUGAAUGAUGAAAUGAAAUGAUGAGAUGAGAUGAUGAAAUGAAAUGGUGAGAUGAAAUGAUGAGAUGAAAUGAAAUAGUGAGAUGAAAUGAUGAGAUGAAAUGAAUUGAGAUGAAAUGAGAUGAAAAAUGAUACGAAAAAUGAUAUAAAAAAUAUGACAUGAGAUGAAAUGAGAUGAAAAAUGAUACGAAAAAUGAUAUAAAAAAUAUGACAUGAAAUGAAAUGAGAUGAUAUGAAAUGAC
RNAcentral lists this long non-coding RNA (455 nucleotides) under Homo sapiens (human). Its description in RNAcentral is "HSALNT0352480". Lineage: Eukaryota; Metazoa; Chordata; Mammalia; Primates; Hominidae. The record is from RNAcentral.